Molecule: ribosomal RNA, 2907 nt
Filed under: Bacillus cereus
Lineage: Bacteria; Bacillati; Bacillota; Bacilli; Caryophanales; Bacillaceae
Description: bacterial LSU rRNA
Rfam family: Bacterial large subunit ribosomal RNA
Source: RNAcentral
ACGGUGGAUGCCUUGACACUAGGAGUCGAUGAAGGACGGGACUAACGCCGAUAUGCUUCGGGGAGCUGUAAGUAAGCUUUGAUCCGAAGAUUUCCGAAUGGGGAAACCCACCAUACGUAAUGGUAUGGUAUCCUUAUCUGAAUACAUAGGGUAAGGAAGACAGACCCAGGGAACUGAAACAUCUAAGUACCUGGAGGAAGAGAAAGCAAAUGCGAUUUCCUGAGUAGCGGCGAGCGAAACGGAACAUAGCCCAAACCAAGAGGCUUGCCUCUUGGGGUUGUAGGACAUUCUAUACGGAGUUACAAAGGAACGAGGUAGACGAAGCGACCUGGAAAGGUCCGUCGUAGAGGGUAACAACCCCGUAGUCGAAACUUCGUUCUCUCUUGAAUGUAUCCUGAGUACGGCGGAACACGUGAAAUUCCGUCGGAAUCUGGGAGGACCAUCUCCCAAGGCUAAAUACUCCCUAGUGAUCGAUAGUGAACCAGUACCGUGAGGGAAAGGUGAAAAGCACCCCGGAAGGGGAGUGAAAGAGAUCCUGAAACCGUGUGCCUACAAAUAGUCAGAGCCCGUUAACGGGUGAUGGCGUGCCUUUUGUAGAAUGAACCGGCGAGUUACGAUCCCGUGCGAGGUUAAGCUGAAGAGGCGGAGCCGCAGCGAAAGCGAGUCUGAAUAGGGCGUUUAGUACGUGGUCGUAGACCCGAAACCAGGUGAUCUACCCAUGUCCAGGGUGAAGUUCAGGUAACACUGAAUGGAGGCCCGAACCCACGCACGUUGAAAAGUGCGGGGAUGAGGUGUGGGUAGCGGAGAAAUUCCAAUCGAACCUGGAGAUAGCUGGUUCUCCCCGAAAUAGCUUUAGGGCUAGCCUUAAGUGUAAGAGUCUUGGAGGUAGAGCACUGAUUGGACUAGGGGUCCUCAUCGGAUUACCGAAUUCAGUCAAACUCCGAAUGCCAAUGACUUAUCCUUAGGAGUCAGACUGCGAGUGAUAAGAUCCGUAGUCAAAAGGGAAACAGCCCAGACCGCCAGCUAAGGUCCCAAAGUGUGUAUUAAGUGGAAAAGGAUGUGGAGUUGCUUAGACAACUAGGAUGUUGGCUUAGAAGCAGCCACCAUUUAAAGAGUGCGUAAUAGCUCACUAGUCGAGUGACUCUGCGCCGAAAAUGUACCGGGGCUAAAUACACCACCGAAGCUGCGGAUUGAUACCGAAUGGUAUCAGUGGUAGGGGAGCGUUCUAAGGACAGUGAAGUCAGACCGGAAGGACUGGUGGAGUGCUUAGAAGUGAGAAUGCCGGUAUGAGUAGCGAAAGACGGGUGAGAAUCCCGUCCACCGAAUGCCUAAGGUUUCCUGAGGAAGGCUCGUCCGCUCAGGGUUAGUCAGGACCUAAGCCGAGGCCGACAGGCGUAGGCGAUGGACAACAGGUUGAUAUUCCUGUACCACCUCUUUAUCGUUUGAGCAAUGGAGGGACGCAGAAGGAUAGAAGAAGCGUGCGAUUGGUUGUGCACGUCCAAGCAGUUAGGCUGAUAAGUAGGCAAAUCCGCUUAUCGUAAAGGCUGAGCUGUGAUGGGGAAGCUCCUUAUGGAGCGAAGUCUUUGAUUCCCCGCUGCCAAGAAAAGCUUCUAGCGAGAUAAAAGGUGCCUGUACCGCAAACCGACACAGGUAGGCGAGGAGAGAAUCCUAAGGUGUGCGAGAGAACUCUGGUUAAGGAACUCGGCAAAAUGACCCCGUAACUUCGGGAGAAGGGGUGCUUUCUUAACGGAAAGCCGCAGUGAAUAGGCCCAAGCGACUGUUUAGCAAAAACACAGCUCUCUGCGAAGCCGUAAGGCGAAGUAUAGGGGGUGACACCUGCCCGGUGCUGGAAGGUUAAGGAGAGGGGUUAGCGUAAGCGAAGCUCUGAACUGAAGCCCCAGUAAACGGCGGCCGUAACUAUAACGGUCCUAAGGUAGCGAAAUUCCUUGUCGGGUAAGUUCCGACCCGCACGAAAGGUGUAACGAUUUGGGCACUGUCUCAACCAGAGACUCGGUGAAAUUAUAGUACCUGUGAAGAUGCAGGUUACCCGCGACAGGACGGAAAGACCCCGUGGAGCUUUACUGUAGCCUGAUAUUGAAUUUUGGUACAGUUUGUACAGGAUAGGCGGGAGCCUUUGAAACCGGAGCGCUAGCUUCGGUGGAGGCGCUGGUGGGAUACCGCCCUGACUGUAUUGAAAUUCUAACCUACGGGUCUUAUCGACCCGGGAGACAGUGUCAGGUGGGCAGUUUGACUGGGGCGGUCGCCUCCUAAAGUGUAACGGAGGCGCCCAAAGGUUCCCUCAGAAUGGUUGGAAAUCAUUCGUAGAGUGCAAAGGCAUAAGGGAGCUUGACUGCGAGACCUACAAGUCGAGCAGGGACGAAAGUCGGGCUUAGUGAUCCGGUGGUUCCGCAUGGAAGGGCCAUCGCUCAACGGAUAAAAGCUACCCCGGGGAUAACAGGCUUAUCUCCCCCAAGAGUCCACAUCGACGGGGAGGUUUGGCACCUCGAUGUCGGCUCAUCGCAUCCUGGGGCUGUAGUCGGUCCCAAGGGUUGGGCUGUUCGCCCAUUAAAGCGGUACGCGAGCUGGGUUCAGAACGUCGUGAGACAGUUCGGUCCCUAUCCGUCGUGGGCGUAGGAAAUUUGAGAGGAGCUGUCCUUAGUACGAGAGGACCGGGAUGGACGCACCGCUGGUGUACCAGUUGUUCUGCCAAGGGCAUAGCUGGGUAGCUAUGUGCGGAAGGGAUAAGUGCUGAAAGCAUCUAAGCAUGAAGCCCCCCUCAAGAUGAGAUUUCCCAUAGCGUAAGCUAGUAAGAUCCCUGAAAGAUGAUCAGGUUGAUAGGUUCGAGGUGGAAGCAUGGUGACAUGUGGAGCUGACGAAUACUAAUAGAUCGAGGACUUAACCAUAUAA